Molecule: long non-coding RNA, 1340 nt
Organism: Rhododendron vialii
Lineage: Eukaryota; Viridiplantae; Streptophyta; Magnoliopsida; Ericales; Ericaceae
Exons: 3
Source: RefSeq, a predicted model, not a curated record
UGAAUUCGGUAUGAUAUCUUGAAUUCCAACAUUAACAUUGUAAACCGCAUGUUAAAGCCCAAAUCCAUAUGCAAAUCCCAUGCAUGGGAUGGAAGCACGAAUUUUCCUAUUUUCUUCAAUUCUAACAUUAACAUUGUGAACCGUUCCUAUGUUGAUUUCUUGAAAAUUCAUGAACUUUCAGACAAAACGAACAAAGCAAGCUGUAGAUGUCAUCUAACAAACAGGCCCUUUAUAUUCGAGUGAUUUGACUAGAAAAAGAAGAGAAGAAACCAUCGAUUCUCAUUAAAUCACUCACUGGAAUACUCAUUUCGAUUAGAAAUGGGGAUAAAACUAUAUAAAAGUCCAAACUUUUUUAUUCGUUCUUCCCCUUUCUUACUACAAAAAAACGUCACCAUUAAGUGAGAAAAAAAGCUUCUUUUCUUUUCCCUGCCAAUAGUUCAUUAAUUGUUCAUUUUUUAAAAACAUAAUCAGAACUCUAUGCAACGCUAAUAUCCCUGCCAAUAGUUCAUUAAUUUCCUGUUUUUUCGGGCCCCAGAUAGUGACCCCGUGAGAAGAGAAAGAUAAGAAACCCGUCCAUUUACCUAGUAAAGGGUUCAUAGGUUCAAUUUCUUGUUUCAAUCAAGACUCUGAAAAAUCUGGUGCAGCUUGUGUCUUCCACAGAUUGCUGUUGUUCUUGUCGUGGCACAAGUUUCUUUUCAGGUCAACGUUUUUCUCAAGGGAACUUCCACUCCAAGUAUCCCUCCAUGUGGGAUGCAUGUGCCUUCUAUUCUCCCAAAAUCCAAAUUGGAUCCUACGUUGAGUUUCCAUCAUCUCAUCCAAAGGGUCUCAGUCCCAUCAAAGUUUCAUUUGUCUUAUCAACGGGAACUCAACGUGUUAUCGCGAUAUGUCUUGAGUCGAAACAAACUAAAAGAAUGCUGAACCAAGAGAGUUUCAUAAGGCAAAGGCUGACAAACGCCAAGGAGCAACAGAUGAAACAAGAGUUGGAGAAUGACCCGAGGAGAUGACUCAUUUAAUACACCGGUGCUUGAACGGCGGAGGGUAAAGGGUUUUGAGUAUUUGAGCAUAGUUGAUCUGAAUGAAAUGCGUCGCUUUUUGAACCAAAAGAUAAGCAACAUUGGAAAAAGGAUUGGGUCUCUUAGUCGAAGGCAUGCUAUAGAUGAAUAAAAUAGGGAAGCGAGAGCGCGGUCCAAAACACAGUUUUCGUUUAUUAAUGGCAGUAGUUCUCUGUUAUGGUUAUCAUUUUCCAAUCUUUGUACCACAGAGUUGAUGUCGUAGGAUUACAGUCAUAAUUUUGUGGCAUUUACUUGAUCCUCAAUGCUACGAUGCAUCCCCCGUUACUA